This 399-nucleotide ribosomal RNA is filed under the name uncultured bacterium. RNAcentral describes it as "bacterial SSU rRNA". It matches the Rfam family "Bacterial small subunit ribosomal RNA", at positions 28 to 442 of the family's 1533-position model. The record is from RNAcentral.
GAUUAACGCUGGCGGCGUGCCUAAUGCAUGCAAGCCGAACGGCUCGAUUUAUCGAGCAGUGGCAAACGGGUGAGUAACACGUAAGAACCUACCCUCAAGUGGGGGAUAACCCCGAGAAAUCGGGGCUAAUACCGCAUACGCUCUCUGAUUCUGUCAGGGAGGAAAGUUGAGGCGCUUGAGGACGGGCUUGCGUCCGAUUAGCUUGUUGGUGAGGUAAUGGCUCACCAAGGCUGAGAUCGGUAGCUGGUCUUAGAGGAUGAUCAGCCACACUGGGACUGAGAUACGGCCCAGACUCCUACGGGAGGCAGCAGCAGGGAAUAUUGCGCAAUGGGUGAAAGCCUGACGCAGCAACGCCGCGUGGGGGAUGAAGGCCCUCGGGUCGUAAACCCCUUUUCUCAG